UACGUAGGGGGCAAGCGUUGUCCGGAUUUAUUGGGCGUAAAGAGCGUGUAGGCGGCCUGGAAGGUCAGCUGUGAAAACUCGAGGCUCAACCUCGAGACGUCGGUUGAAACCACCUGGCUAGAGUCCGGAAGAGGAGAGUGGAAUUCCCGGUGUAGCGGUGAUAUGCGCAGAUAUCGGGAAGAACACCCGUGGCGAAGGCGGCUCUCUGGGACGGUACUGACGCUGAGACGCGAAAGCGUGGGGAGCGAACAGG
Molecule: ribosomal RNA, 253 nt
Filed under: uncultured bacterium
Lineage: Bacteria
Description: partial 16S ribosomal RNA
Rfam family: Bacterial small subunit ribosomal RNA
Source: RNAcentral